This 855-nucleotide ribosomal RNA is filed under the name uncultured bacterium. RNAcentral describes it as "bacterial SSU rRNA". It matches the Rfam family "Bacterial small subunit ribosomal RNA", at positions 59 to 912 of the family's 1533-position model. The record is from RNAcentral.
CAGUCGAGGGGCAGCACGGUAGCAAUACUGGUGGCGACCGGCAAACGGGUGCGGAACACGUACGCAACCUUCCUUUAAGAGAUGGAUAGCCCGAAGAAAUUCGGAUUAAUACAUCGUAAGAUUGUGGGAUGGCAUCAUCCAGCAAUUAAAGAUUUAUUUCGCUUAAAGAUGGGCGUGCGCCUGAUUAGGUAGUUGGUGAGGUAACGGCUCACCAAGCCGACGAUCAGUAACUGGCGUGAGAGCGCGACCAGUCACACGGGCACUGAGACACGGGCCCGACUCCUACGGGAGGCAGCAGUAAGGAAUAUUGGUCAAUGGACGCAAGUCUGAACCAGCCAUGCCGCGUGAAGGAUGAAAGCCCUCUGGGUUGUAAACUUCUUUUAUCUGGGAAGAAACCACUUUUUUCUAAGAGUGUUGACGGUACCAGAGGAAUAAGCACCGGCUAACUCCGUGCCAGCAGCCGCGGUAAUACGGAGGGUGCAAGCGUUAUCCGGAUUCACUGGGUUUAAAGGGUGCGUAGGCGGAUUAUUAAGUCCGUGGUGAAAUCUCCAAGCUUAACUUGGAAACUGCCAUGGAUACUAUUAGUCUUGAAUGUUGUGGAGGUUAGCGGAAUAUGUCAUGUAGCGGAGAAAUGCAUAGAUAUGACAUAGAACACCAAUUGCGAAGGCAGCUGGCUACACAAAUAUUGACGCUGAGGCACGAAAGCGUGGGGAUCAAACAGGAUUAGAUACCCUGGUAGUCCACGCCCUAAACGAUGAUUACUCGACAUUUGCGAUACACAGCAAGUGUCUGAGCGAAAGCAUUAAGUAAUCCACCUGGGAAGUACGACCGCAAGGUUGAAACUCAAAGGAAUUG